Sorex araneus (European shrew) is the source of this 107-nucleotide small nucleolar RNA. Lineage: Eukaryota; Metazoa; Chordata; Mammalia; Eulipotyphla; Soricidae. The record is from Ensembl.
AUCCAUCUCCUGUUUAUAAGCAUGAUGAUUAGGUGUUGAUACAUUUGUGUGAUAUAUCCCUCCCUUAAAUCUUGUUACUCAAGAUUUGGCACUUUACCCAUCUGAUG